AGGGAAUCUUCCACAAUGGACGCAAGUCUGAUGGAGCAACGCCGCGUGAGUGAAGAAGGUUUUCGGACCGUAAAGCUCUGUUGUUGGUGAAGAAGGAUAGAGGUAGUAACUGGCCUUUAUUUGACGGUAAUCAACCAGAAAGUCACGGCUAACUACGUGCCAGCAGCCGCGGUAAUCGUAGGUGGCAAGCGUUGUCCGGAUUUAUUGGGCGUAAAGCGAGCGCAGGCGGAAGAAUAAGUCUGAUGUGAAAGCCCUCGGCUUAACCGAGGAAUUGCAUCGGAAACUGUUUUUCUUGAGUGCAGAAGAGGAGAGUAGAACUCCAUGUGUAGCGGUGGAAUGCGUAGAUAUAUGGAAGAAUACCAGUGGCGAAGGCGGCUCUCUGGUCUGCAACUGACGCUGAGGCUCGAAAGCAUGGGUAGCGAACAGGAUUAGAUACCCUGGUAGUCCAUGCCGUAAACGAUGAGUGCUAAGUGUUGGGAGGCUUCCGCCUCUCAGUGCUGCAGCUAACGCAUUAAGCACUCCGCCUGGGGGAGUACGACCGCAAGGUUGAAAC
Molecule: ribosomal RNA, 553 nt
Filed under: uncultured bacterium
Lineage: Bacteria
Description: partial 16S ribosomal RNA
Rfam family: Bacterial small subunit ribosomal RNA
Source: RNAcentral